Molecule: ribosomal RNA, 617 nt
Filed under: uncultured bacterium
Lineage: Bacteria
Description: bacterial SSU rRNA
Rfam family: Bacterial small subunit ribosomal RNA
Source: RNAcentral
UACACGCCGCGUGAGGGAUGAAGGCCUCUGGGCUGUAAACCUCUUUUCUCAAGGAAGAAGAUCUGACGGUACUUGAGGAAUAAGCCACGGCCAAUUCCGUGCCAGCAGCCGCGGUAAUACGGGAGUGGCAAGCGUUAUCCGGAAUUAUUGGGCGUAAAGCGUCCGCAGGCGGCCUUACAAGUCUGUCGUUAAAGCGUGGAGCUUAACUCCAUUUAAGCGAUGGAAACUGUAAGGCUAGAGUGUGGUAGGGGCAGAGGGAAUUCCCGGUGUAGCGGUGAAAUGCGUAGAUAUCGGGAAGAACACCAGUGGCGAAGGCGCUCUGCUGGGCCAUAACUGACGCUCAUGGACGAAAGCCAGGGGAGCGAAAGGGAUUAGAUACCCCUGUAGUCCUGGCCGUAAACGAUGAACACUAGGUGUCGGGGGAAUCGACCCCCCCGGUGUCGUAGCCAACGCGUUAAGUGUUCCGCCUGGGGAGUACGCACGCAAGUGUGAAACUCAAAGGAAUUGACGGGGGCCCGCACAAGCGGUGGAGUAUGUGGUUUAAUUCGAUGCAACGCGAAGAGCCUUACCUACCCUUGACAUCCAGAGAAUCUGUUAGAGAUAGUAGAGUGGCUUCG